Long non-coding RNA from Podarcis muralis (Common wall lizard), 1854 nucleotides. Ensembl lists it as uncharacterized. NCBI's taxonomy places the organism in Eukaryota, Metazoa, Chordata, Lepidosauria, Squamata, Lacertidae. The record is from Ensembl.
UCAAAGAGAACUUUGUUGCUAAGGAUAAAGUAAUCUCAAAUGCCAUGUUCACCCUUAUCUCACACCCUUAUCUAGAGAGCUACUUCAAAGACAAUGAAACCUGUCCCAUUAGGGUAGCCUUCUUAGCUUCCCACCUGCAUAUAUAGGCACAAACUCUGUGAAGGCAACACCAUUGCUCAUUCAUCCUUGCAACUCUUUUCAGUGGCACACAACAAAUCUUAGAAGAACCAUGAAGUUCAUCUGUCUUUUCUUUGCUGUGGUCUUCCUUGGUAGAGCCCAGGCUGAUGAAGCCGAUGUGGAUCAAGGGGAAGAGCAAGACUUGAGUGGUCCUCAGGACCAAAACCCAGCUUUGCCAGCUGGUUAUGAUGAAGCUUUGAAGAAUGAAGAAGUUCCCCUCCCAAGUAAUCCCAUCGUAUGCAAUUCUAUGGGGGGGAGAUGCCGUCACAAGUGUGGUCUCUCUGAGAAGUAUGUUGGACGAUGCUUUGCAACUAUGUCCUGCUGUGUGCGUUUUCAGUAGAGAGCAUGCGCGAGAAAGAGGCAAGAAAGACCAACAGCGUAUGAUCGGAAGAGAGGAAGAAACCGAUCGAGAUGAAUUAAUGCUAAAUCAUUCCUUUUCAAUUAAAAUUGAGUUUGCAUCCAAUCAUUCUUACUCCAGGGACUCAAUUACUCCUAGUUAUCACUAGCGCUGAACUACCACUGCUGUUGUAACUACUACUACAAACUCUCCCUGUGCCCCGAGUUAUCCGAAAAAGUCUCAAUUUUCUUGAUUUCUUGAUUUGAUUUUAUUUAUUUUAUUUCUAUGCAACUGUUCAUCCACAUGAAUCUCAAAGCAGCUUUGAAAGAGCAAAUAACAAUAACAGAACAGAACAUCACAAAUCAUAUAGAAUGAUGAACAAAUCAGUAAAACACUAUUAACAAAACAACAACAACAAAAAGCAAAGCAGCAUAAUCACAACAGAAGUCAUAUUAUGGGAUUCACGAAGUACUACAGCAUUCACAAUCUAUAAAACAAUCUUAACAGCAUUAACAAAAUAGCAAACAAAAAAAUAAACUAAGCCCUGUUGAAUUCAUACACAAACUCUUCUCAAAUCUCAUGAUUUCAGCUCAUUAAAAUACACAUCGACAUCUUGCCCAUGGCAGGAACUCCUUUCUGAAGGUUUAUUGGGUUGGAUGUGGGGCAGCACAGGGGCCUCUCCUCCCUCCCAGUUCUUUCUCUGGAAACAGUUCCCUUAUGAAGGCUCCUAGGAGUGGGUGCUGUUGACAGUUCCUGGCUAUCUGCCCAGGAAAGCAGAAAUGCAGAGAGAAAGAGCUUUUUAGACACAGGGAAAACAAUCUUACGAUCAAGCCAACAUUGCUUGGAAUAACGCACCACCGGCUCCCUGGCUGUUACUUCCUAGCAAUUAGACCCCUCCUGCUGCUUACGGUGGCUGCUAAGGGCAAACCGUCUUUGGGCUCCUUGUUUUGCGACAUGCAGAGCAUUCCUAGUUCUUAGGGAAGGACGGGGGCUCUGGCAAACUCUCCAGAGACGGCGAGUCACUUGGCUGCUGCACAGAUCGGACUCCUACCUCUGUGCACUGCUCCUGUCCUUCAUCACCCAUUAUUUCCCAACUCCUUCCUCUCUCCUGUCUCAAACCACCAGUCCAAAACAUUACUGUCUCCCCCUUUGCCCUCACUGUAAUGCUUCUGCGGUCUCCGCCUCUUCUCACCAGCAGUCCAGUCCCUGACAGGUGGAGGAUGAGGCAAGGCAGGUGGAAACAGAUAUUGCCUGACAAACAGCACCAAGUCCCCCCCCUCACAGUACUUGCUCUUGUUAUUAUCCCAAGGAAAAGGGGCACCCCAAAUUCUCUUCUAGGG